AUGGUGGGGGCGAAAUUUGGGCUCGGCCGGCGUGCCGUUCGCCGGAUCUGGUAUGGUGCGGUGCUACGGCUCAGCACGCGGGUUGGUGGUGGCACCGGCUGUAGGUAUCGUGGUGGUGCCAUGGCCGGUCAAGCAGCGGCGGCUGCCGCGGUGGUGGACGAUCCGUGCACAAGACGCUUGAUGGAGGCCACUGGAACAGAUCUGGGUGAAGACCUGCUCACGGCUGCUGCCGAGGCCGGCGAUGGCGGCACUAUUCGGUGUCGUUCCCUUGUUGAAGGCAUCACUGUUGAGAAGUUUCAGGCCACUAUCUGCUACCUCCGGGGGAAACCCUAG
This 333-nucleotide ribosomal RNA is filed under the name Triticum aestivum (bread wheat). RNAcentral describes it as "partial small subunit ribosomal RNA". Lineage: Eukaryota; Viridiplantae; Streptophyta; Magnoliopsida; Poales; Poaceae. The record is from RNAcentral.